UUGGUCAGAGGGAAUAACCGCAUCACCACCGCCUCCACUGCCGUUACCGAUGUGAGAUUUCUUAAGAGAUCUUUGAUUCUGACUCUGCAUAACCACUUGACCAUUUUGCCACAGUAGUUCCAUGAUUUCCUCCUCCGCCCUAUGAAACCAACAAACAAAAAUCUCUUCCACUUCAAAAUCACAAAUCAGAAAACUAAACCUUUCAUUCAAAUGAUUAAAAAAAAAAACAUAAAGUUUACAUUGCGGACUUCUUAGUUCUGGUAAGACCAGAAGAAGCAGGAAGAGAGUAGUCAUCAUCCAUAUCAAAAUCAGGAACAGAAUGAUUCAUCGUGACGUAGGCAGCUCAAAUCUCCCAAAUAAAAAAAUCAAAAUUGGUCAGGCACCGCCGCAACAAGCAGUCCCAAACUCACCAUAACACUGGAGCAGCUUAUUAACACCGCCCAUAAAUCUACGAAAUCAAAAGCUCACACAAAAGGCGGCUGCUUAAUGUUAAAAACGUCUUUAACAACCUCCAGAGUUAGCUGAAAGUACCUUUUUGAAACCCUUUUACUGUUGUGUGUAGUUUGAAAAUGGAGAGACGAGUGACGAUUGAUUGAGUAGCAGAGAGCAAGAAGGUGGGCGAUUUUGGGUAUGAAUACUUUCCUCUUUCUAUUCUUUCCUUCUUUCCUUUCUUGGUUUUUGCCUUUAUUGUUAAUGUCCUUUUGCAAGAGAGAUAAGGUCCGUUCUCUCCUCCCCUCUCUCUCUUUCCUCACCGUGCCUUUAAUCUUCGAAUAAAAAUUAAAGAAAAAGACGAAAUUGAUUUUUGACACUAUUGCAUCGGACAGUUAUUUCACUGUCAUUAUAAACACAUUUCCCCACCUGUUUCAAUCAAGCAGCUUAUCAUCAAUUACUACUAAACUACUACUAUUUCCUACUCAUCUCUCCCAACUUGAGUCUUUUACAUUUUUGCCCUAACAAAAUUUAAAAAUUUGUUAACGAAUAUUUUUUUCCGCCACCAACAUGAUUUGUGAUGUAGUAGCGAGACUACUUCAUUGUUAAUCAAUGAUCUAGAGUUUGAGUUUUGGAUAUGAAUUGUUUUUUAUUAAGAGUGUCAUCUCCUAAUAUAUCAUGCAGCGGGUCAGAUUUAAUUGGUGCUUCAAUACGGAUAUUGAAUGAGGACCAAUUAUUUUCCCCUAUCCAUAAUUAGCGAGGGUACAAAAGGUUUAAUAAAGCAGUAGUUUUUGAACUCGUCACUCCGAGUCUAAAUAAUAAAUUCUUGGUCAAUUAUUCGUUUAUACACAUAUACAUAAUUGUUUGAUUUGAGAAAAUGUGUAACACAUACAUAAUUAUAUUUGGGAAAAUGUGACACAGAACAUAAUAAUUUUGAAAAAUGUGAAUAGAACAUGGAAAGUUCUCAUUUUAUUAACUUUGUUGCGCGACUUCAAAUUAGGUCGUGAUGAUAAGGUGUUGAUACAAAAUUUCAUGUGCCGAUUGGUAUUAAAAUCAAACAAAAAAAAAUUAUUGAUUUGGAAAACAAUUUUUGAUGUGUUUGAGAGCCGACUUAAAUUGUAAAAUUUAAUAAUUCUUCUAAAGUGAUUAUCUAAGCAUAUUAGAACUGCUUAAUGACAUUAUUUGUUGCUUUGUCUGGUGGGGCCCUGCACAAAUUACCUUAUGUAUAUAUCUACAAAAACUAUUGGUUAAUAAGAGAAAGAUAGAGCCGAUAGAGACAUAUAGUAAUAUAUGAAUUCAUAUUUGGAUAACUUUGGAUUUCCAAUUAACACGUAGUAUUAUUUAUAAUAUAUGUACAAAUACUUUAAUGAUUCGAACAGAAGUCCAUCUAUCACCAAAAAGAAUAUGAUUAUCUAUGUUGUACAGUUGCAGUUUUAUGUAAUGAAUGUUAAAUAAAAUAAUUUGCUAAGUACAUGUUUAAGAUACACUUAUCAUUGUUUAUAUUACUUAAAUAAUAACACUUUAAUUAGUCGACAAAAGCUAAAAAGUAGUGAUUGUUCUGUAUAAUAUAUCAUUAUCCAUUGUGGAUCCUCUGCAUAUUAAAAGCUGAUUCGGGCGUGAGCGCUGAGCAGUCCACAAUUAUUUAUUUAACAAAAAAACGUAUAAAAAUCUUUUAUUACAUGAAAUUAAAAAAAAAUGUCUAGUUAAUAGUUUGGUCUAAUAAUAUUUAUAUUGCUAAUAAUUUGGUUCAAAGAUGCCUAUCUGUUGCUCAAAUGAGUCAAAAAUGUCAUUUUUUAAAGUAAUUUGUUUGCAUAGUUUAACUACCAAAUACCAAUCACUAAUUUUAUUCUAUUAUUUAACUUUUUCUUCAAAGCUUUCAUCAUUUUAUUCUCUUGAUAACUCAGACUUACAAUCUUAAGAUUAAAAAAAGAAAGUACUUAACUACUCAUCAUUCAAGUAACCUUAUUUUGUCAAACUAUGAUCCUAAUUAAGUUGAGUCCUUUCGUUAUCUUAAAAUAUAAAGUACUACCACUUCUUUUUUUUGUUAGUAAUAUUUUUUAUUGUCAUAGAUAAGAAUAAAAAUUGAUAUUUUUUUUUGAAUUCUUAACCUAGGUGGUCCUAAGAAUGUAAGGUACCCCUUGGUGGUGUUAAAGCAUAAUUCUUACUACAUGUCCAAGUAUAUCGAAUAUUAGAUGCACUGGAGAUAUUGAGAACGAUAGUGCUCUAAGAACAGAAUAUAUAUGUCUUUAAGUUGAAUCUGACAUGUCAAAAUGAUUAAUCUACUUGUGGCAUAACGCAAGAAAUGACCAUUUUUUUCUAAGAGGAAUGAUAUAGUAUAAUUAAAUUACACAUUAGGGAUAAUAAGAAACACAUUAUAGUAAGGCCUCGUUUUAAAAGGAUUUGAAGUUGAAGUUUUGUCUGAACAUGUAAUUGGAAUAUUUUGUCAGACUAUGAGUUGCAACCUGCUAUUCCAAAUUGUCAAAGAAUGUUAUAAUGAAGAAAUUGUAAGUCAAUAUAUAGCUAACUUUACAGUGUUUUUGCAACCAGAUAUUCUUUGCUCACUUGUUUUCUCACUUUCUAAGUGAUAAAGGUGAUGGCUCAGUUCCUGGGGUUGAUGUACACUUACUUGAGCAUAUCCAUAACCAAAAACAUUGGAUUAGAUUUUCAUCUGUAUUUAUAGACACUAUUAUUGCUCUGUACUAUUAGCAUAGAAUAAGAAAUGUGGAUAUGUGGGACAAGGUGGGAGUGGCUUUUUGUGGAGGAUAUGAUGUGAAAAGCGAGGGUGAGAUGAUUCGGACAUGUGAAGAUGAGAUACACAUAUGCCUCAGAGUAGAGGUGUGAGAGAUUGUUUAUGGAUGGUUUCAGAAUAAGUAGAGGUAGACUGAAGAAGUAGUGGAUCAUUGGACAGGGCAUGAAAUAGUUUCGGUUUAGCAAGGACAUGACUUUAGAUAGGAGGGUAUGAAAGACACAAAUUAGGUCAGAAAGUUAGUAUGUAGCCGUGUUUCAUCUUAUUGUCCCUUCAUAUUAGUAGUCGUAGUAUUGCUCUUAUAGUUUCAUUCCUUCAAAAAAAAUUACUAUAUGUUGUUCUUUAUAUCUCGAUUAUCAUUUUGUUGCAAUAUCUAUUGUGUUGCUAUCUAUUGUUUUUAUUAUUAUUUGAUGUUUCUUGUAUUUUCAUUACCUUUUUUUUGAGAUUAUUCUGGACUUUUUUUCUUAUGCCGGGGGUCUAUCAGAAACAAGAUAUCUACCUCUGAGGUACGAAUAAGGCCUAUAUAUACUCUACUGGCCUUUCCAAACUCCAUUUCGUGGAACUUACCCCUGAUAUGUUGUUGUACUAUCAGCAUAGAAUAAACUCAUUAGUG
Molecule: long non-coding RNA, 3788 nt
Filed under: Solanum tuberosum (potato)
Lineage: Eukaryota; Viridiplantae; Streptophyta; Magnoliopsida; Solanales; Solanaceae
Description: long non-coding RNA (STUB_LNC009207)
Source: RNAcentral